RNAcentral lists this microRNA precursor (173 nucleotides) under Oryza brachyantha (malo sina). RNAcentral's name for it is "MIR812 microRNA precursor family". It matches the Rfam family "MIR812 microRNA precursor family". Lineage: Eukaryota; Viridiplantae; Streptophyta; Magnoliopsida; Poales; Poaceae. The record is from Rfam by way of RNAcentral.
AAUAAGUUCGUUUUUAAAUUUUUGAAUACAACGUUUGACUCUUCGUCAUAUUUGUAAUUUUUUGCGAUUAAUAUUUUUAUUUUUAUUAGAUAAUAAAACACGAAUAAUACUCUUUUUAUUAUAUGAUAAAAUUUUUAAAUAAGACGGAUGGUCAAACGCUAGACACAGAAACC